GUAGGGGUCCAAGCGUUAAUCGGGAAUUACUGGGGCGUAAAGCGUGCGCAGGCGGUUGUGGCAAGACCGAUGUGAAAUCCCCCGGGGCUUAACCUGGGGAAUUGCAUUGGUGACUGCACGGCUAGAGCGUGUCAGAGGGGGGGUAGAAUUCCACGUGUAGCAGUGAAAUGCGUAGAGAUGUGGAGGAAUACCGAUGGCGAAGGCAGCCCCCCUGGGAUAACACUGACGCUCAUGCACGAAAGCGUGGGGAGCAAACAGGAUUAGAUACCCUGGUAGUCCACGCCCUAAACGAUGUCAACUAGUUGUUGGGGAUUCAUUUCCUUAGUAACGUAGCUAACGCGUGAAGUUGACCGCCUGGGGAGUACGGUCGCAAAGAUUA
Molecule: ribosomal RNA, 379 nt
Filed under: uncultured organism
Description: partial 16S ribosomal RNA
Rfam family: Bacterial small subunit ribosomal RNA
Source: RNAcentral